Long non-coding RNA from Oncorhynchus tshawytscha (Chinook salmon), 1147 nucleotides. NCBI's taxonomy places the organism in Eukaryota, Metazoa, Chordata, Actinopteri, Salmoniformes, Salmonidae. The record is from Ensembl.
AGUAGCCUCCAUGAUAAAUGUCCACAGGGGCAACGUCCUAAACAGUAGCCUGCAUGAUAAAUGUCCACAGGGGCAACGUCCUAAACAGUAGCCUGCAUGAUAAAUGUCCACAGGAGCAACGUCCUAAACAGUAGCCUGCAUGAUAAAUGUCCACAGGAGCAACGUCCUAAACAGUAGCCUGCAUGCAUUUCAAAACAAAAACUUUAAUGCAUGGGGCUAAGAUGGACGCUGAGUCCAAGGUGGAGGGGGCAGUUGACCAAUGGGGUCCCUCCAGGGAGUAUUACAUCUCCUCGUGAGGGACAUUUCCUCGUAUGCCACUUGAUGUCCAUGCAUCACAUGAGGGCCUGUAUGGAACCAUUGGGAAAAUGAUCAGUGUGUGUGUGGUCCUUGGAGGGGUUGGGCCACACUUCUUCUCUGAGCGACUCUUCGCAGCAGUGUGUGGGACGCCUGCUCCUCCACUCAGUCUGGAGGAGGUGAGCCACACUACUCUGAAAGCAUAUUGGAAAAUAUCAAAAAAGCAGAGGACCUAUCCGAGGUGAAGAACAAAUUGGAGGAAUCGGUAGACUGGCUGAGCCUACUGGGGCUGAAAAGGAUUGUUGUCAAGACAAUGGAGGACAGGGAUGGUGUGAUUGAAUUGGUGGCUCAACAAUUUGUCCGAGGGAGCAUGCAGGUGGCCUUGGAGCAGCAUUGGGGAACGACCCGGACAGCUUCCGAGUACUCUUUGUUGACCCCAUAAAGCCUCACUGCCAAGGACCUGAUGGACCUGUUUAAAGUAACCUAUUCCAUACCUGGCGGCAACCGGCGGUGGUUGGAGAACGACACCAUCUGCCACUGGUUCAACUGGCUGGCUGAGGUGCAAGAUGGAGAAUGUCCUCCUCUAACAGUGAUGAUGGUGUUGGAGUUUACUACUGGGGCAACGGGGGUGCCACCCCUGGGGUUUGAGGUCACCCCGACAAUCGAAUUCCUCCACACAGCGCGAGGGCGUCUCGCUGGGCAGCAGAAGAAAAAGUACCCAGAGGCAAACGUGUGUGCUGUCACACUAAGGCUCCCUCUUCAUAGCACCUACAAUGCCUUUAGAGAAUUCAUGACCUCCGGUAUUGUGAAUUCCCCGCAUUUCGAUGUUGCAUAAAAACAUUUUUAUGAUACC